GAGGUCUUGGCUUAAAAUUAAAGUAUCUGAGUUGCAAUCAGAAGAUGUGUUUGUGAAUACAGGCCUUC
This 68-nucleotide transfer RNA is filed under the name Cyrtodactylus philippinicus. Its description in RNAcentral is "tRNA-Ala". It matches the Rfam family "tRNA". From Rfam's summary of the family: Transfer RNA (tRNA) molecules are approximately 80 nucleotides in length. Their secondary structure includes four short double-helical elements and three loops (D, anti-codon, and T loops). The record is from RNAcentral. Lineage: Eukaryota; Metazoa; Chordata; Lepidosauria; Squamata; Gekkonidae.